GCGCUCGCUUCAGCAGCACAUAUACUGAAAUUGGAACGAUACAGAGAAGAUUAGCAUGGCCCCUGCACAAGGAUGACACACAAAUUCUUGAAGCGUUCCAUAUUUUU
This is a small nuclear RNA of Callithrix jacchus (white-tufted-ear marmoset), 107 nucleotides long. The record is from Ensembl. Lineage: Eukaryota; Metazoa; Chordata; Mammalia; Primates; Cebidae.